This 454-nucleotide ribosomal RNA is filed under the name Pseudomonas sp. P110. RNAcentral's name for it is "bacterial SSU rRNA". It matches the Rfam family "Bacterial small subunit ribosomal RNA", at positions 442 to 887 of the family's 1533-position model. The record is from RNAcentral. Lineage: Bacteria; Pseudomonadati; Pseudomonadota; Gammaproteobacteria; Pseudomonadales; Pseudomonadaceae.
GGGAGGAAGGGAAGUAAUNUUUUCCCCCGCUGUUUUGACGUUACCAACAGAAUAAGCACCGGCUAACUUCGUGCCAGCAGCCGCGGUAAUACGAAGGGUGCAAGCGUUAAUCGGAAUUACUGGGCGUAAAGCGCGCGUAGGUGGAUCAGCAAGUUGGAUGUGAAAUCCCCGGGCUCAACCUGGGAAACUGCAUCCAAAACUACUGAUCUAGAGUACGGUAGAGGGUGGUGGAAUUUCCUGUGUAGCGGUGAAAUGCGUAGAUAUAGGAAGGAACACCAGUGGCGAAGGCGACCACCUGGACUGAUACUGACACUGAGGUGCGAAGCGUGGGGAAGCAANAGGAUUAGAUACCCUGGUAGUCCACGCCGUAAACGAUGUCGACUAGCCGUUGGGAUCCUUGAGAUCUUAGUGGCGCAGCUAACGCGGAUAAGNCGACGCCNGGGGGAGUACGGCC